GAACGAAAAUCUGUUUACUUCAUUCAUUGCCCCCACAAUUCUAGGCCUUCCAGCUGCAGUGCCAAUCGUUCUAUUUCUCCCCAUGCUGAUUCCAGCUUCCAAACACCUUAUCAACAACCGAUUAAUUACCACUCAACAGUGACUAAUUCAACUCACCCUAAAACAAAUAAUAACAAUAAAUAACAUUAAAGGACGAACCUGAUCCCUCAUGCUAAUAUCCCUAAUUAUCUUCAUUGCUACAACCAAUCUCCUCGGGCUCUUGCCCCACUCAUUCACACCAACUACCCAACUGUCAUAAACCUGGCCAUGGCAAUCCCCCUAUGAGCAGGUGCAGUAAUUACAGGCUUCCGCUUUAAAACCAAAAAUACCUUAGCCCAUCUCUUGCCACAAGGCACACCCUCACCCCUCAUUCCCAUACUAAUUAUUAUCCAAACCAUCAGCCUAUUUAUCCAACCAAUAGCCCUAGCCAUGCCCCUAACUGCUAAUAUUAUGGCAGGCCAUCUGCUCAUACACUUAAUCAGAAGUGCCACACUAGCGCUAUCAACUAUCAACCUCCCCACAACCUCAAUCAUCUUCACAAUUUUGAUUUUACUGACGAUUCUCGAAAUCGCUGUCGCCCUGAUUCUAGCCUAUGUUUUCACACUCCUAGUGAGCCUCUACCUACAUGACAAUACAU
RNAcentral lists this long non-coding RNA (676 nucleotides) under Homo sapiens (human). RNAcentral describes it as "non-protein coding lnc-MTRNR2L1-7:1". The record is from RNAcentral. Lineage: Eukaryota; Metazoa; Chordata; Mammalia; Primates; Hominidae.